UACGUCAUCUGACGUUGACGCAGGUCCAUAACGCAGGUUGACGUGUCUUUUUAUUGCUUUUUAACCUUUUUAACUUUGUUCGAAAAUUUAACCUCGAUGUUUGUAUUUGCAAUAUUUACCUCGUUUUUCUAAAUAUGACUUAUUUAAAAUCAUGGGAAGAAUUUGAAAAAGCUGCUGAAAAAUUAUAUCUCCAGGAGCCAUCUAAAAUCCGAUAUAGUAUGAAGUAUGUUCAUUCAAGAAAUCAGUUAAUUUUGAAAAUGACCGAUAAUUCUGUGUGUCUACAGUUCAAAACAGAAGUAGCACCAGAUUUAAGAAAAAUAGACAAAUUUAUUAACAACUUGGUGCGACAGAUGGUCUCAAAGGAAUCAUAAUUUAAAAUAAAUUAUAUUAAGUUUUGAGAAUGUUUACUCACUCUCGUUAUUUAAAUUUAUUACAUAUAAAUAUUGAAAAUCAAAAUACGAUUGAAUUAAAUCUUAUAUACCCAAUAAUUCUAUUUUAAUUUUAAGAUAUCGAAUAGAUAGACCCUCCUAAAUUAUCUAUAACUAUCAGAGGAGAAAAUAUAUAGUCUGUCCAAAGAGUCAGGGAAGAUUUCAACAGACAAGCUCCA
Long non-coding RNA from Sitophilus oryzae (rice weevil), 607 nucleotides. RefSeq lists it as uncharacterized. The transcript has 2 exons. Lineage: Eukaryota; Metazoa; Arthropoda; Insecta; Coleoptera; Curculionidae. The record is from RefSeq and is a predicted model, not a curated record.